Marmota monax (woodchuck) is the source of this 6108-nucleotide long non-coding RNA. RefSeq lists it as uncharacterized. The record is from RefSeq and is a predicted model, not a curated record. The transcript has 2 exons. Lineage: Eukaryota; Metazoa; Chordata; Mammalia; Rodentia; Sciuridae.
GGCUGUGGUGUUGGUCUUUCGGGGCUGAGGAGGGUGAGAGGGGCUGAAACCAAGGCCCUGGGCGAGGGGAGCGGGCAGGCAUGUGGCCCACAUCUUUGGAGGAGCCCAGCACACCCCGUGGCUGCGGUGGCACCACCUGAUUCGCGCUACCCGGACCUGCGCCCAGCUGGUCAGCCAGGGCUGCGGGCCGGUCCUCCUGGCCAGUCAGACCUCCCACUCGGGAGUGACCCCAGGUCCCGCCUCAGUUUCCCGGGUGGAGGGGUGGCGCUGCUGGCCAUGGCAGCUCCACUUUGCUGUGUGGCAGGCACUUAACUUGUGCGCCUCCAUGCUCGGAGUGCACAGAGAGGUGCAGCGCCCUGACCAAAGUCACACUGCUGGGACGUGGUGGGAUGGGCUUCCCACACCCACGCGGGCCUGCACCCCUUCCUUUCCUCCAGUCCUUCUCCCAGCAGUGCUCACAGCUGGUUCCCUGGGGUCCUGGUGGGCUGCAGAGUGUGUGUCUGGGACCCACUCUGAAGUUGGAUGCAGCAUGGUAUGUGAGUUCCUUGGGACAGGCUUUUUCCACGCCUUUUGUCCGAUUCCCGGGAGGUCUUCCACCCCUAAACUGUCUAUUGGCCCAGUGUGAGAGGGCAGAGGUGGGCUUAGAGUGACCCUUGUACGCCAGGGGUGGGGUCACUAGCCCAACAAAAUGGGAAUACUGGAGCCGAAGCCUUGCCUCAGGCAAAGGAAAGUUUGAUUCCCCUUGGAGCACCGAUUCCAGUCUGGGACAGUUGGUUGUCAACCCCAGAACCAAGGCUCCUCUCCUUGGUGUUGAACGUUUAUCAAGUCACUUGCACACAUCACUGAGGGGGGAGGGGAGGCCCAAACCAAAGUCAGACAGAAAGUGGGGACAGCGCUCCCCAUCCCUGCAGCUGCCAAAGCCAGAAGGAGGAGAGGAGCCCCCCCGAGGGUGGCCGCCCCACAGUGGAGAGGAGGGGCAGAUGUCAGCCAGACGACAACGUCCCCAUGCACCACAGCACUGCUGCCCGGCCACCACUGCCUUCCGAGGCACUGCCCAGCAUCCUCCCUGGUCCUCGGGUAGGCGUGGCUCUCAGAAGAGCAGGGUGCUCAUGCUGCCCACCUCACUUGGCUCCUUGAUGAAGAUCUCGAAGGACUGGGAGAUGUUGGUGACAGCCAACAGGAUCCCCAUCCCCAAGCCGAUGGCACCCAGGAAGGCAGCCAGGACCAAGAGGCCCCAAGGCACAGGCCCCCAGAGUGAGGGGACCGAGUGAGGGGACUCCUGGAGUACCAGGUGGUGGCCGCAGGGCCCUCAGUCCCCAAUGCCACCCAGGGUGCCCUGAGCUCCCCCAGCAGCUGGCCGGGCUGACACCAGCUGCCCCCCAGGCUGCGGGUGGCACUUUCGUCCGGAUCUUGUACAGUCACAUCAGGGGACUUGGGGGGACCACAAAAUGCUGCCCAUGAGCCUGGGUCAUUCGCUCAGAUUCAAAGGGCAAAAGAUCAGCCAGUGGCAAGGACCCGCGGGUGACCUGGUGCUGUGGUCCCCUAGCUCCUGAGACGGGCCUUCUCCAUUGAGAGCCACUGAAUUCCCCACUGUCCAUCGCUCAGCAGCCAGUCUGGGCAAAUGGGGGGUCACUUCUGGCUCUAGCUGUGCUGAGACACUUGGACCACAGGGUCCUUUUCUGAUUCCUACUCCAGCAUGCAUUGUCGGGGACUUGUCCCCUCAGCCCUCGGCUACUGGUGGGGAAGAGGCCCUCCUGCCACCUGCACUGAGCAGGCCCAGGCCCAGCUCCUGUUCAACCAGAAAGACAGAAAAUCCCGAGGGCAUGACCUGCCCACUUCGGCCACUGGGCCUGAGGGGAGGCAGGGAGGCUUCCAGCACAGGGGCCCAGGGAGGGCUCAGGAGCCAAGGAACGGCACCUAGCUGUGGCACAGGUGGCAGGGCCACUGUGCUAAAGAUGUGUCCAUUCUGCACCUGACCCCCUGUCCCCACGGCCUGGAGCAGCUAUUCUCAAAGACAGGUUGAGGCCAGGCAGGGGCCAGAGGCCCCACUGUGUCUCCAGGAAGGUCUUACUGUCCUUACUGGUUUUAUUCCUGGAGAGACCUGCGUUCUCCUCAGUGUUUAGAGCAGCUCAACUCACAGUAGCCAAGCUACAGAACCAGCAUAGAUGCCCCUCAGCAGAUGGAUGGAUAAAGAAACUGUGGUCCCUAUACACAGUGGAAUAUUACUCAGCCAUAAAGAAGAAUGAAAUGAUGGCAUCUGAAGGUCAAUGGAUGGAGCUGGAGAGGAUCAUGCUGAGUAAGUAAGCCAAUUCCAAAAACCAAAGGCCGAGUGUCCUCUCUGACAUGCAGAUGCUGACUCACAAUAGGGGAGAAGAGAAGAGAAUUUCAUUGGAUGAGACAAAGGGAAGGGAGGGGAGGGACUGGGAGAGACAGGGGAAUGAAUGGACGUCACUUUCCCAUGUUCACAUAGGAACACAACCAGGGAAACCCCACAGCAGGGCCAGCCACAGGAAUGAAAAUCACACCCCGUGUAGGUGACAUGGCAGGAUGAAGGCUGCUGUCACGGGGAGCUAAGAAGAACAAAUUCAGAGACAAACCUGUGUUCCCACCUAUGACAAGGGACAAGGCGCGAUGUCAAUCAGUGUCCUCAUCAAAGAUGAAGUGGGCUCUGCUGGCCUCUGGGAGCCAGUGUGAGGGAGCUGACACUCAGGUCACCAGAGCGGCCCCACCUCCUCAGGCCUUUGCUCCCUACAGGAUUGUGGAGCCUCAGAGGCCCGCGGAAACCCUGCCAUUCAGGGACAGGGCAGCUGUGGCCUUUGGUCCCCCUGCUGUCUCCUCCCAGGGGCAACAUGCACUCCCUUCUUCCCAUCCUGACUUGUGACAUCACGGGUAGGGACAGACCCGGGCAGCAGGGACAGCCGGCAGCACCUACCUGAUAACACAGUGGCCUUGGUUGGAGGCAAAAACCACGAUGGGGGCGAUGGAAGAUUCCAGAGCUCGGUGCAGGGAGGUGAAGCCCUCGAUGGCCAGCAUGUGCACCUCGUCCACGAACAGCACGCUGGGGACCAGCUCGGACACUCCCUGGUCGAUGUACUUGUUCACCACCUUGUUGAUCUCGCCUUGGACAGGGUCCCAACCAGUGCGGGAAAUGUCACCUGCUCUCUUCUCCCCACCUCAAUUCCCUCCAGACCCAACCCUGCAGCCUGGUUCUCCUACUGGCUCUCUGACCCCAGGCUGGGUACUGGACCCAUUCCAGGUUUGGUGUCAUCAUUUGAAAACAAGAAUCAUGCCAGGUGUGGUGGCACACGCAUAUAACCCCAGCAGCCUGGGAGGUUGAGGCAGGAGGAUCGCAAAUUGGAGGCCAGUCUAAGCAACUUAGUAAGGCCCUGAGCAAUUCAGUUGAGACCCUGUCUCUGAAUAAAAUACAGAAUAAGGCUGGGGACGGGGCUCAGGGGUCAAGAGCCCCUGAGUUGUAUCCUUGUACCCUCAUCUAAAAAAAAGAAAACAGGCAUCAUCGCCCCCAAAUCCCACAAAAAGCCUUCUGUGGAGCUGUGUGGGGCGCAGUGUCCAGGAGCUGCCCCAUCUAGCCCUGAGCCUGAUGCUGAGACACCCCACUUGGGAGCCCCAGGGAGAUGCGUUUUCAUAUGCAGAUUCUCCUCUGCUGCACUCAGUCAAGGAGCCCUUUUGGGGCCCUGCGUGAGAAUGCUCAGGUUCAUGAACUUUCCAUCCAGUGCAGUUAGAAUCCUUUCCCUGGGAAACCUGAGCAAGGAGGGUCAGAGCAGGCCCAGGCUCGGCUCCAGAACCACCAGCCUCUGCAGAAAGGCAGACCCACCUCAGGUCCCAGCCCUCACCAGCGCCCCCUGUCAUCAGGAUGGAGCUGUUCCCAAAGAACCGGGAUCUGAGGCCUGUCCUCGCCCAGAGCCAUGACGCGGGGCUGGCAAAACCCAGUUCAGAGACAGAUCUGCUCUUGGCCACUCAUGGAGGAGCUUAGGCUGCUGCGAGGCCUCAAGGCAACAGUGGAUUCAUGUUGAACUUACGUUUUCAGGGAGUAAAGUGGUAAUGGGCCUGAGAAGGACAUAAAAUUGGGGAAGAGCCGGGUGCAGUGGCACACACCUGUCAUCCCAGCAGCCGGGAAGGCUGAGGCAGGAGGAUCACAAGUUGGAGGCCAGCCUCAGCAACCUAGCAAGGGCCUAAGCAACUCAGCCAGGCCCUGUCUCUAAAUAAAAAAUAAAAGUGCUGGGAUGGGGCUCAGUGGUCGAGGGCCCCCGAGUUCAAUCACUGGCAUAAAAAAAUAAGUCUACAAAGGAGCAAGGGGGACCCACUGCCUGGUGUCAACGUCGGCACCUUUCUGGGACCUCAAAGGAAGCUGAUGCUGACCUUAGUGGGGCCAGAGCACACAGUGUGGCCACGGCUUCUAAAGGGAGUGAAGACCCAGAGCCGUGCAGUGGGGGGCGCUCAGAGCCGGGAGCAUGUCAGAGGCAGGGCCUCAACUUGGCUCUGGGCCCAGGCUUCGCCACGCAUCCUCCCUGUGAUCUCUGUCUUCUUUGGCUUCAUCAACUGGCCCAUCAUGGACAGGAUGUCUUGUCCCCCCUGUAGGAGAGAGGACUUUCUAAGGCUGCUACCAAGGCCCAUCCUUCUGCCUCCUGCGGGUCCUGAUGUCACUCAACUUGGAAGCCUGAGGUAGACAGGCCCAGCACAGCUCCCCUGGGAAGGAUGAGGGGCUCCUGAACUCAGAGGGAUCCCCUGGAGGUUUCCUCUGACCUGCAAGAAUCAAGCAGAGUCGUGCAUGGUGCCAUGUGGAUCUGAGGCAGGAUAGUUUCUACUCUGUAGAUUUGAAGUGUCCCUGAAGGUUUCCAGAAACUCGCAGAUCUAGGCUCCGGUUUCUGCAAGCUCUGCCACACUGCAGGACCCAGAAGGCUCACCAACCGAGGACAAUGGAUGAACUCUGGGCAAAGAAGUAGAUUUUGAAUGAGUCAAGAACAUAAAGAAUUGGGCUACACAGCACCCUGUACUCAAAGCAAGACAGUGAGGAAUGUGAAGAUUGAAGAUCAAGGGUAAGGCAAGUCAUGGGACAAGUCAAGAAAGUCAUCAAGGACAAAAGGAGCCAGUCACUAGAAAGCAAGUUAAUGCAAUAGAUCAAAUUCCAGAAUCCUGGAAAACUAUGAACCUAAAAUAUUAAGCAAGUUGAUGGGGAAAGGCAGACAUACAAAAGCACCAAUAUGGGAAAAUGGGAUUGGAGUACAAAUAUGAGCCCUAGUAAAAAAAAACACUUGCCACAAAUGUCUGCUAUAAUAAAUACCUUUACAAAUAAAAGUCUUUUUACUGGAACAGGUGGUAAUUACAGGCAAGGCUAUUCCAAAGUCUAAAGGCUUCACCUAGUAAAUGGUUCAUCUGUUUAGAAAGCUAAAUAAAAAUAUAACAGUGAAUCCACUCUCAUAUAUAAUAUUAAUACACCAAUAAAAAUCUGAAUACAUUAAGAAAAUCACAAAGGAAGGAAGGAAGGGAAGGAGGAAGAAUGCAUUUUAGACAAAUGCAAUAAUCAUCUCAAAAGGCAGGAACCUUCCAAAAGCUCACUGGAAUUUGGGAAAAGAAGGAUUCGAUUGUUUUGUAUGGUGGGAUCUCCAUUACCUUUCAAUAUGCCCAUUUAAAAUUUUUUUUUUUGAUUUUUUAUUUAGUGUUUCUAAAUCAGUAAAUUUUGUUUGUGAUUAUUUUUCUAUUCAUUAUAGGUAUCUAAAAUAUAUACAGCAGAAACACUAUGCUUUACACUAAAUACAUCAUGCAUUUAUUAUUAAUUUAAUUCAUAAAAAUAUUUUAAAAAUUAUUAGUUGUUUAUGGAUCUUUAUUUUAUUCACUUAUAUGCAAUGUUGAGAAUCGAACCCAGUGCCUCACACAUCCUAGGCACGUGCUCUAUCACUGAGCCACAACCCUAGAACCUGUAAAUAUAACUUUAAUGGUUAAAAAUAUGCAUCAACUUUCAAUAUUGACCUUCAAAGUGAAAUAUAUUUUCCUGGUAAUAUAGAGCUUAUUUAGUCAAUUUUUAUAUCAUGUUUUGUAGUUUUUUAAACUCUAAUUUUCACUUCCAAUAUGAUAAUAAAAUCAUUGGUUAAA